UACCCGAGUAGCACCGGGCCCGUGAAAUCCGGUGUGAAUCUGUCGGGACCACCCGAUAAGCCUGAAUACUCCCUGGUGACCGAUAGCGGACUAGUACCGUGAGGGAAAGGUGAAAAGUACCCCGGGAGGGGAGUGAAAUAGUACCUGAAACCGUGCGCUUACAAUCCGUCAGAGCCGAUGCACGAUUCAGUUCGUGGUGGGUGAUGGCGUGCCUUUUGAAGAAUGAGCCUGCGAGUUAGUGGCAUGUCGCGAGGUUAACCCGUGUGGGGUAGUCGUAGCGAAAGCGAGUCCGAAUAGGGCGCAUGUAGUGGCAUGUUCUAGACCCGAAGCGGAGUGAUCUACCCAUGGCCAGGGUGAAGCGAUGGUAAGACGUCGUGGAGGCCCGAACCCACUUAGGUUGAAAACUGAGGGGAUGAGUUGUGGGUAGGGGUGAAAGGCCAAUCAAACUCCGUGAUAGCUGGUUCUCCCCGAAAUGCAUUUAGGUGCAGCGUCGCGUGUUUCUCACCGGAGGUAGAGCUACUGGAUGGUCUAGGGGGCCCACAAGCUUACCGAAAUCAGCCAAACUCCGAAUGCCGGUGAGUGAGAGCGCGGCAGUGAGACUGCGGGGGAUAAGCUUCGUAGUCGAGAGGGAAACAGCCCAGAUCGCCGGCUAAGGCCCCUAAGCGUGUACUAAGUGGAAAAGGAUGUGGGAUCGCUGAGACAACCAGGAGGUUGGCUUAGAAGCAGCCACCCUUGAAAGAGUGCGUAAUAGCUCACUGGUCAAGUGGUUCUGCGCCGACAAUGUAGCGGGGCUCAAGUACACCGCCGAAGCCGCGGCACUCACACAACACCCAUUCGUUCCUGCGGGAACGUGUGCAGUGGUGUGGGUGGGUAGGGGAGCGUCGUGCAGCCGUGGAAGCGCCGGAGUGAUCCAGGUGUGGAGGCUGCGCGAGUGAGAAUGCAGGCAUGAGUAGCGAAAGACGAGUGAGAAACUCGUCCGCCGGAUGACCAAGGGUUCCUGGGCCAGGUUAAUCCGCCCAGGGUGAGUCGGGACCUAAGGCGAGGCCGACAGGCGUAGUCGAUGGACAACGGGUUGAUAUUCCCGUACCCGUGUAUCCGCGCCCAAUGGCGAAUCAGUUGUGCUAACCGUCCAAAAGUUUCCGCUGUUCCUUCGGGAACUGUGGGGAUGGCUGCACGGGACCCUGAUUGUAGUAGUCAAGCGAUGGGGUGACGCAGGAAGGUAGCUGGGCCAGGUGAUGGAGUACCUGGUGUAAGCCGGUAGGGCGAAUGGUAGGCAAAUCCGCCGUUCAUACAGCCUGAGAGGUGAUGCGUACCCGUUGAGGGGAAUUCAGUGAUCCUAUGCUGCCGAGAAAAGCCUCUAGUGAGUUGGUACACGGCCCGUACCCCAAACCGACACAGGUGGUCAGGUAGAGAAUACCGAGGCGAUCGAGAGAACUGUGGUUAAGGAACUCGGCAAAAUGCCCCCGUAACUUCGGGAGAAGGGGGACCACGCCCGGUGACGGCCCUUGCGGUCCGAGCUGGGGGUGGUCGCAGAGACCAGAGAGAAGCGACUGUUUACUAAAAACACAGGUCCGUGCGAAGUCGUAAGACGAUGUAUACGGACUGACGCCUGCCCGGUGCUGGAAGGUUAAGAGGACCGGUUAGCGGAGCAAUCCGCGAAGCUGAGAAUUUAAGCCCCAGUAAACGGCGGUGGUAACUAUAACCAUCCUAAGGUAGCGAAAUUCCUUGUCGGGUAAGUUCCGACCUGCACGAAUGGCGUAACGACUUCUCUGCUGUCUCGACCACAGACUCGGCGAAAUUGCAUUACGAGUAAAGAUGCUCGUUACGCGCGGCAGGACGAAAAGACCCCGGGACCUUCACUAUAGCUUGGUAUUGGUGUUCGGUUCGGUUUGUGUAGGAUAGGUGGGAGACUGUGAAGC
RNAcentral lists this ribosomal RNA (1919 nucleotides) under Rhodococcus sp. Chr-9. Its description in RNAcentral is "bacterial LSU rRNA". It matches the Rfam family "Bacterial large subunit ribosomal RNA", at positions 405 to 2163 of the family's 2925-position model. Lineage: Bacteria; Bacillati; Actinomycetota; Actinomycetes; Mycobacteriales; Nocardiaceae. The record is from RNAcentral.